This 1167-nucleotide ribosomal RNA is filed under the name Vibrio cholerae. RNAcentral describes it as "bacterial LSU rRNA". It matches the Rfam family "Bacterial large subunit ribosomal RNA", at positions 1 to 1216 of the family's 2925-position model. The record is from RNAcentral. Lineage: Bacteria; Pseudomonadati; Pseudomonadota; Gammaproteobacteria; Vibrionales; Vibrionaceae.
GUUGUAUGGUUAAGUGACUAAGCGUACACGGUGGAUGCCUGGGCAGUCAGAGGCGAUGAAGGACGUACUAACUUGCGAUAAGCGCAGAUAAGGCAGUAAGAGCCGUUUGAGUCUGCGAUUUCCGAAUGGGGAAACCCAACUGCAUAAGCAGUUACUGUUAACUGAAUCCAUAGGUUAACAGAGCAAACCGGGGGAACUGAAACAUCUAAGUACCCCGAGGAGAAGAAAUCAACCGAGAUUCCGGUAGUAGCGGCGAGCGAACCUGGAUUAGCCCUUAAGCACUCGGUGAAGUAGGUGAACAAGCUGGAAAGCUUGGCGAUACAGGGUGAUAGCCCCGUAACCGACGCUUCAUCGAGCGUGAAAUCGAGUAGGGCGGGACACGUGAUAUCCUGUCUGAACAUGGGGGGACCAUCCUCCAAGGCUAAAUACUCCUGACUGACCGAUAGUGAACCAGUACCGUGAGGGAAAGGCGAAAAGAACCCCUGUGAGGGGAGUGAAAUAGAACCUGAAACCGUGUACGUACAAGCAGUAGGAGCACCUUCGUGGUGUGACUGCGUACCUUUUGUAUAAUGGGUCAGCGACUUAUAUUCAGUGGCAAGGUUAACCGUAUAGGGGAGCCGUAGCGAAAGCGAGUCUUAACUGGGCGCUCAGUCUCUGGAUAUAGACCCGAAACCGGGUGAUCUAGCCAUGGGCAGGUUGAAGGUUGAGUAACAUCAACUGGAGGACCGAACCGACUAAUGUUGAAAAAUUAGCGGAUGACUUGUGGCUAGGGGUGAAAGGCCAAUCAAACUCGGAGAUAGCUGGUUCUCCCCGAAAGCUAUUUAGGUAGCGCCUCGGACGAAUACUACUGGGGGUAGAGCACUGUUAAGGCUAGGGGGUCAUCCCGACUUACCAACCCUUUGCAAACUCCGAAUACCAGUAAGUACUAUCCGGGAGACACACGGCGGGUGCUAACGUCCGUCGUGGAGAGGGAAACAACCCAGACCGCCAGCUAAGGUCCCAAAGUAUUGCUAAGUGGGAAACGAUGUGGGAAGGCUCAGACAGCUAGGAUGUUGGCUUAGAAGCAGCCAUCAUUUAAAGAAAGCGUAAUAGCUCACUAGUCGAGUCGGCCUGCGCGGAAGAUGUAACGGGGCUAAGCAAUACACCGAAGCUGCGGCAAUGUCUUUU